CCUACGGGUGGCAGCAGUGGGGAAUAUUGCACAAUGGGCGCAACCCUGAUGCAGCGACGCCGCGUGAAUGAAGAAGCGUUUCGGCGCGUAAAGCUCUGUCAUCGGGGACGAAACACGUUUCGCGCGAGCCGCGCUCGGUAACCGCCCAAUACGCGCCAGCUAACUACGUGCCAGCAGCCGCGGUAAUACGUAGGGGGCAAGCGUUAUCCGGAUUCACUGGGUGUAAAGGGGGCGUAGACGGGGAGACAAGUCGGGAGUGAAAGGUCGGGGCCCAACCCUGGGACUGCUUUGGAAACUGUUGGGCUGGAGUGCAGGAGAGGUAAGUGGAAUUCCGAGUGUAGCGGUGAAAUGCGUAGAUAUAAGGAGGAACACCAGUGGCGAAGGCGGAUUGCUGGACAGUAACUGACGUUGAGGCUCGAAAGCGUGGGGAGCAAACAGGAUUAGAUACCAGUGUAGUC
Molecule: ribosomal RNA, 458 nt
Filed under: uncultured bacterium
Lineage: Bacteria
Description: partial 16S ribosomal RNA
Rfam family: Bacterial small subunit ribosomal RNA
Source: RNAcentral